This is a non-coding RNA of Trichonephila clavata, 72 nucleotides long. NCBI's taxonomy places the organism in Eukaryota, Metazoa, Arthropoda, Arachnida, Araneae, Nephilidae. The record is from the annotation of a GenBank genome assembly.
AUCCGUGUAGAGCAAUAGAUAGCUCGUUGGACUUCUAAUCCAGAGGUCGUGCGUUCGAACCCACCUGGGAAG